CUCAAGCUACUUCAAUUUGGCAGAUAGGUGAAGAGUAUGAAUUAAGUGGGAAUAUUGUGGACAACUGGGGUGUCUGGGGACCCUUCACACAUCCCUUGCAUACACCUAUGCUUGAAGUGAGGCAUUUAAUAAAGACCACUUGGUUACCAAAAUACAAUCGGUGCAUUGAAUUUUCCUGAUGGGCUAUUAAAGGGUUACUGUUUACGAGAUCUGAGGGUGUGUUCGUUAAAAAAGCUCCCAUGUAUUACUAUUGGACUGUAAGUAGCAUUCAUAUGCUGCAGGAAGGAUAUUAAUUAAAUAAUCAGAGCGACUCAUUUGGGAUUACUUCUUGAGUAGUAAUUGAUUUCCCUGCUGUGACAUCUGUAUUGUCUGUACUACAGAACAGCCUUAUUCAUGUAUGAUGAGAGAUCUCUAGGAAACAAGGUGGGUUUGAUAAUGGAACACAGUGAGAUUGCAGCAUGCUAAUGUGUUACCCAGCUCAACAACUUUUUAAGUAAGCCAGUUUUACUUUAGCUUUACUAAAUGCACUAUUACAU
Pelobates cultripes (western spadefoot toad) is the source of this 536-nucleotide non-coding RNA. NCBI's taxonomy places the organism in Eukaryota, Metazoa, Chordata, Amphibia, Anura, Pelobatidae. The record is from the annotation of a GenBank genome assembly.